UACAGAGGGGGCAAGCGUUGUUCGGAAUUACUGGGCGUAAAGGGCGCGUAGGCGGCCUUCUAAGUCGAACGUGAAAUCCCCGGGCUCAACCCGGGAACUGCGUCCGAUACUGGAAGGCUUGAAUUCGGGAGAGGGAUGCGGAAUUCCAGGUGUAGCGGUGAAAUGCGUAGAUAUCUGGAGGAACACCGGUGGCGAAGGCGGCGUUCUGGACUGUAACUGACACUGAGAAACGAAAGCCAGGGUAGCAAACGGG
Molecule: ribosomal RNA, 253 nt
Filed under: uncultured bacterium
Lineage: Bacteria
Description: partial 16S ribosomal RNA
Rfam family: Bacterial small subunit ribosomal RNA
Source: RNAcentral